RNAcentral lists this ribosomal RNA (253 nucleotides) under uncultured bacterium. RNAcentral's name for it is "partial 16S ribosomal RNA". It matches the Rfam family "Bacterial small subunit ribosomal RNA", at positions 524 to 776 of the family's 1533-position model. The record is from RNAcentral.
UACGUAGGGCGCGAGCGUUGUCCGGAAUUAUUGGGCGUAAAGAGCUCGUAGGCGGUUUGUCGCGUCGGCCGUGAAAACUUGGGGCUUAACCCCGAGCCUGCGGUCGAUACGGGCAGACUUGAGUUCGGCAGGGGAGACUGGAAUUCCUGGUGUAGCGGUGAAAUGCGCAGAUAUCAGGAGGAACACCGGUGGCGAAGGCGGCUGCCUGGCCCAAUACUGACACUCAGGUGCGACAGCGUGGGGAGCAAACAGG